AGUGAACGCUGGCGGUAGGCCUAACACAUGCAAGUCGAACGGCAGCACAGAAAGAGCUUGCUCUUACGGGUGGCGAGUGGCGGACGGGUGAGGAAUACAUCGGAAUCUACUUUUUCGUGGGGGAUAACGUAGGGAAACUUACGCUAAUACCGCAUACGACCUACGGGUGAAAGCAGGGGAUCUUCGGACCUUGCGCGAUUGAAUGAGCCGAUGUCGGAUUAGCUAGUUGGCGGGGUAAAGGCCCACCAAGGCGACGAUCCGUAGCUGGUCUGAGAGGAUGAUCAGCCACACUGGAACUGAGACACGGUCCAGACUCCUACGGGAGGCAGCAGUGGGGAAUAUUGAACAAUGGGCGCAAGCCUGAUCCAGCCAUACCGCGUGGGUGAAGAAGGCCUUCGGGUUGUAAAGCCCUUUUGUUGGGAAAGAAAAGCAGCAGGUUAAUACCCCGCUGUUCUGACGGUACCCAAAGAAUAAGCACCGGCUAACUUCGUG
This 492-nucleotide ribosomal RNA is filed under the name uncultured bacterium. Its description in RNAcentral is "partial 16S ribosomal RNA". It matches the Rfam family "Bacterial small subunit ribosomal RNA", at positions 29 to 507 of the family's 1533-position model. The record is from RNAcentral.